RNAcentral lists this ribosomal RNA (450 nucleotides) under uncultured bacterium. RNAcentral's name for it is "partial 16S ribosomal RNA". It matches the Rfam family "Bacterial small subunit ribosomal RNA", at positions 29 to 507 of the family's 1533-position model. The record is from RNAcentral.
AUGAACGCUGGCGGCGUGCCUAACCCAUGCAAGUCGCGCGGCAGCGAGGGGUGCUUGCACCCUGUCGGCGAGCGGCGGACGGCUGAGUAACGCGUGGGAACGUGCCCCAAAGUGAGGAAUAACUGCCCGAAAGGGUAGCUAAUACCGCAUAUUAUCUUCGGAUCAAAGGAUUUAUCCGCUUUGGGAGCGGCUCGCGUCGGAUUAGGUAGUUGGUGAGGUAAUGGCUCACCAAGCCGACGAUCCGUAGCUGGUCUGAGAGGAUGACCAGCCAGACUGGAACUGAGACACGGUCCAGACUCCUACGGGAGGCAGCAGUGAGGAAUCUUCCACAAUGGGCGAAAGCCUGAUGGAGCAACGCCGCGUGCAGGACGAAGGCCUUCGGGUUGUAAACUGCUUUUAUAAGUGAGGAAUAUGACGGUAACUUAUGAAUAAGGAUCGGCUAACUACGUG